CCUACGGGAGGCAGCAGUGAGGAAUAUUGGUCAAUGGGCGAGAGCCUGAACCAGCCAAGUCGCGUGAAGGAUGAAGGAUCUAUGGAUUGUAAACUUCUGGUAUAGGGGAAUAAAGUGAGGAACGUGUUCAUGUGUGUAUGUACCAUAUGAAUAAGCAUCGGCUAACUCCGUGCCAGCAGCCGCGGUAAUACGGAGGAUGCGAGCGUUAUCCGGAUUUAUUGGGUUUAAAGGGUGCGUAGGUGGUUAAUUAAGUCAGCGGUGAAAGUUUGUGGCUCAACCCUAAAAUUGCCGUUGAAACGGGUUGCCUUGCGUCUAUUUGCGGUAGGCGGCCUGCGUUGUGUCGCGG
RNAcentral lists this ribosomal RNA (346 nucleotides) under uncultured bacterium. RNAcentral describes it as "partial 16S ribosomal RNA". It matches the Rfam family "Bacterial small subunit ribosomal RNA", at positions 338 to 681 of the family's 1533-position model. The record is from RNAcentral.